GCGCGUUGACGUCUGCGUGAAAGGUGCUUACGUACUCGGCUCCGAGCCUCUCCUCUCUUCUCGUCUCCUCCCCUCCCCUUGCGCAGAAGCAGAAGCAGAAGCAGAGAGCCCCUUCCUCAUCCCAGAAGCAAACCCUAGCCUAGCCUAGCCGCCAUGGCUCCGAGGGAAGCCUUCCUUCAUCCCUCUGCCCAGUGAUACUACCGGACUGCAUCCAUCGGCGCGCCUGUCCAGGGAUUCACGGAUUCACGGGGUCGGCGCCGCAUCCGUGAUGAUGAGGCCGGUCGCCGGAAGCUGGGCCGUUGCAGGGGUAGCCGGCCGGCCGGCGAGGAUGAGAGCGAGCUUCUUCUUUUUUUGGUUUUUGCGGCGGUUUCUGUUUCUCAGAUCUACAAAUCCUUGGCCGCAAAUCGCAUGCAAGAUGCACAUCUGUUUUCUUCUUUUGAUUUGAUUUAUCCAUGCGCAGGCAGAAACAACGGAUCUAGCUUGUGCAGGCGCCAUCUUGCAUGCUCGUUUAUUAAAUCUUGGCCCUCUCAGUUCUGAAUUCCGUUUUUACUCUUGUCAUAUGUAUGGCGACGAUUCUUCUUGUCAUAUGGCUUGCAAUUCGCUGUGCCUUAGAUGUACUACUAGUAAUAUAAUAUUACCGUCUUAUUAGGCAUGUUUCUCGUUGAUUAUGCACUUUUUUCCCCCUUCUUUUCCAACUUUCUCGUUGAUUAGUUUGGAACAUCUUCAUUGCCCAAGCAGAGCAGAUCCCUUGGCUUGUUUGUUGCAGAUCAGGGUGCUUAGACCUGUUUUCUUCUUUUGAUUUGAUUUGAUUUGAUUCAUUCAUGUGGUAUAAUUUGCUCCCACAGAAAAUGAGUUAUAAUUUGCUCUGCUGUUUUCGGGUCAAUAUCCCUAUCAGAUUUGCUGCAAUCUCUGUUUACUUUUACAACAAUCUCGGCGGUCUCAUCUCAUCUCAUCUCAUCUCAUCUCAUCUCAUCUCAUCUCAUCUCAUCUCAUCUCAUUGUAAGUAUCCCACCCACCCACUCUGAACCUGUUUGGUUAAGCUUUACUCCAUUUUAGUUGAACAUUUCUGCAGAUUGCUUCUAAUAAUUUGUUUCCCUGAAUAUUGCUUGGCGUCUUUGGAGUCAUGGAGGUCUUUGGAGUCAAGGAUGGCACGGCAAGGACCUACUUUGACUGAUGAUGUUUAUCAGCAACCCAGUUAAUAAUACGAGUUGAUGUUGAAUGUAGUGCCCGUAUGUGAUGUGAAGAAAUUUGUGCUCCAUGAAGAUGUGUGGAUGUGCAAGCUCUUGUACUGUCUGUCCGACUUUCAUGCCGAAUUCAGCAAGUGGUGUUUUAUUAUUGCAGCUCAUGCCUAAUCUAUUUCUAGUUGCCUUGCUCAUGUUUCUAUAUGAAUAUGACAGCACGCAAGAGGGGAGAGAUUGAUCAUGGCCUUUGGAGGACCUUGCAAACCGCGACCGACCACAUAUGUUAAGUAAUCAUCACACCCCCCCUUUUUACUCUGUCGGUAUGAAUUUGGUUCCUGCCUCAUGUACUAUCAUAUUAGGCGCUUCUAGUAAUUUCUUCGUGGGCAUAGUCUCCAUGUUUAGCACAAGUUUCUGCAUUGUUUAAAAGUUGGUCCUCCAAACUAGGACCCAAAUAAUAUGAUCUCACAUAUAAUCACUAGCCUCAGCCGCUAACAAGAGUAUGUAACAUUACAAUAGUUAAACGCAGCCUCUCGGACCCCUUCUCUUGUUGAAGGACAAAAGCUACCGGUGUGGGCGCUUUUUUCAAGGAUCUUGUUGCUUAGAUCAACAACAAGUCAGUUUUUUACGAGUAGAUGCCACCGCAAAUUUUGUUUAGCGCACACAGUUUUUAUUGGACUCUUCACAUCCGAUGGUACUAAAAAGGCAAAAAAAUUCUAAGGGGAGUGAAAAUAUGUGUUCGGUUCAGAUGUGGGUGCUCCGUAGCCUCGUUAGCUAAAAAGAGGUUGAUGAGACCUGCUAAGAUCGGGUUAGUUUUGCACCUUAGCUUCUGUAACUGUAAAAUAAUCUGACAGACGUAGGUGCAUAGAGAAAACUUGAGGAAUAUCCCAUGGAAGCUAGCUCCCAGAAAAACCAGAGCUAUCUCUGUUGUUUCCUAUGGGACUAUUUAACACAGCGGGUUGGAAAUAGAUUUUCAGAAAGCGAUUCCUAUUUGGAUGACAUCUAAGUAACAGUCAACACAAACAUUGUACUCCCUCUGUUUCUAAAUAUAAGCCUUUUUAGAGAUUCCAAUACGGACUACAUAUGGAGCAAAUGAGUGAACCUACACUCUAAAAUAUGCAUAUGUACAUCCAUAUAUAGUCCGUAUUGAAAUCUCUAAAAAAAGCUUAUAUUUAGAAACAGAGAGAUAAAAGAUUAAGCUUAAAGGCACGUUCGUAGAUUUUCACCAAGUUAUGACCCUAGUUAAUGUUCAAAAUACAGGUCUGCGUAAGUGAAGCGGAAUGCCACAGCUAAGAGCAACGGGCUCUGAAGCAUUUUUUUUAAAUGGCCAGGAUUUGGCUGUUUUUGAAUAACAAGCACAGGAGAAUAUGGAACAUAGCAAACGGCUAAUUGAAAUAGCAUAUAAUAUAUGCAGUUGACACCAUAGCAAAUGUACACCAGGUUCACACAGGAAGCAAAAUAAGUAAAUAACAACUGAAAUGCAGUUGACACUGUAAUAAAUACACACCAGGUUCAGGCAGCAAGCAAAAUAACAACAAAAAUGCAGUUGAGAUAAGUGGACACAGCUUAAUAGAGAUCAUGUGGCCAGAUUCUAAAGGAAAUGGUUCCCAAACAGACACUAGUAGUAAUAAGAUAAAUUGCGCGCAAGCAGCCAAGCAUUGCAGUUGAACAAGAGGCAAAUUCUGGCCCAAUUAUGAAAACAACGCCUAAUCUGCCGUUUUAGGACCAAAGCACAUGGCCAUUAUUGCCAGCGCUCUCUUGAACACUGACCCUGGUGAAUGUCACUUGGUGACUAACUUUGCAAGCUAGAAAAUUUCAAGUAGCGUUCAUUUAUAUGAUGCAAUUAUCUAUUCAGUAUAAAUACAUGACUCUAGUGAACAAGUAUAUAUGACUCAUGUCUAUAACCUCUGUCACUAGCAAGAGUGGUCUGUAAAAUGUAGAGGAUGCUACAACUCGUAUAGAAGUUACAAGGUAACCUUUGGACCUGCUGUCAAAGUCCUCUGGAAUGAGAGCUUUUGUCAUAAUCUUCUUUAGCACUUACCGUUGCAAUUAUACUCCUCCCAUUGUGUGGAUGCUAUUUCUAGGCCCCUCUUUGUGUGCUUAGAGCAACAACAUCGGAGGCUUUGUUGUAAAGUAAAUGCCAGUUUAAAUUUAUUUAGCACCUAAAGCUAUUAUUCGACAGAGAGUGGUACUAAGUGAAAUUAAUCUGAUUGAGUUGAAUGGAUGCCAGUUUAAACAUAUUUAGCACAUAUGGCUGUUAUAGGACUUGUAGUGGGACUAAGUAAAAAUACAUCUAAUUGAGAUAAAUGGAUGCCAGUGUAAUAUGGCUGCUCUAGGACUCAUGGUGGGACUAAGUAAAAAUACAUCUAAUUGAGAUCAAUGGAUGCCAGUGUAAUAUGGCUGCUCUAGGACUCAUGGUGGGACCAAGUAAAAUACAUCUAAUUGAGAUAAAAGAAUGCCAGUGUAAAUGUAUUUAGCAGCUAUGGUGUUACUGGAUUCAGAGUGGUACUAUGUGAAAUGAAUGUAAUUGAGAUGGAUGCAUGCCUGUGUAAAUUUAUUUGGCACCUAUAGUUAUUGGACUCAAGAGUGGUACUGUGUGGAAUGAAUGUAAUUGAGGUGAAUGGACGUUGUGUAAAUUUGCUUAGCAACUAUAGCUGUUAUUGGACUCAAAAAGUGUCACCAAGUGCAAUAAAUGUAAUUUUUACAGGAAAAUUGCCUAAGAUGCUGAUGCUUAUGCUUGAAGAGGAAUGAGCAUAUGUAUAAGCGCAAUCAACCAAGAGGGGUUUUAUUUGUCA
Triticum aestivum (bread wheat) is the source of this 3973-nucleotide long non-coding RNA. RefSeq lists it as uncharacterized. NCBI's taxonomy places the organism in Eukaryota, Viridiplantae, Streptophyta, Magnoliopsida, Poales, Poaceae. The transcript has 2 exons. The record is from RefSeq and is a predicted model, not a curated record.